RNAcentral lists this microRNA (22 nucleotides) under Medicago truncatula (barrel medic). RNAcentral's name for it is "mtr-miR5226". The record is from miRBase by way of RNAcentral. Lineage: Eukaryota; Viridiplantae; Streptophyta; Magnoliopsida; Fabales; Fabaceae.
UUUGUACAACUUGGAGGAUUCA